ACAGGCUUAACACAUGCAAGUCGAGGGGCAGCAUUUUAGUUUGCUUGCAAACUGAAGAUGGCGACCGGCGCACGGGUGAGUAACACGUAUCCAACCUGCCGAUAAUUCCGGAAUAGCCUUUCGAAAGAAAGAUUAAUACCGGAUAGUAUACGAAUAUCGCAUGAUAUUUUUAUUAAAGAAUUUCGGUUAUCGAUGGGGAUGCGUUCCAUUAGUUUGUUGGCGGGGUAACGGCCCACCAAGACUACGAUGGAUAGGGGUUCUGAGAGGAAGGUCCCCCACAUUGGAACUGAGACACGGUCCAAACUCCUACGGGAGGCAGCAGUGAGGAAUAUUGGUCAAUGGGCGCGAGCCUGAACCAGCCAAGUAGCGUGAAGGAUGAAGGCUCUAUGGGUCGUAAACUUCUUUUAUAUGGGAAUAAAGUUUUCCACGUGUGGAAUUUUGUAUGUACCAUAUGAAUAAGGAUCGGCUAACUCCGUGCCAGCAGCCGCGGUAAUACGGAGGAUCCGAGCGUUAUCCGGAUUUAUUGGGUUUAAAGGGAGCGUAGGUGGAUUGUUAAGUCAGUUGUGAAAGUUUGCGGCUCAACCGUAAAAUUGCAGUUGAAACUGGCAGUCUUGAGUACAGUAGAGGUGGGCGGAAUUCGUGGUGUAGCGGUGAAAUGCUUAGAUAUCACGAAGAACUCCGAUUGCGAAGGCAGCUCACUAGACUGUUACUGACACCGAUGCUCGAAAGUGUGGGUAUCAA
This 741-nucleotide ribosomal RNA is filed under the name uncultured Bacteroidales bacterium. RNAcentral's name for it is "bacterial SSU rRNA". It matches the Rfam family "Bacterial small subunit ribosomal RNA", at positions 42 to 771 of the family's 1533-position model. Lineage: Bacteria; Pseudomonadati; Bacteroidota; Bacteroidia; Bacteroidales. The record is from RNAcentral.